GUUCAAAAACAAUGGACGAUCCACUACUGCCAUCAGUGAUUUCCUGUGUGCAUCUGGAAGGCUUCUGUUCUGCCAUUCUGUCCAUGCUGCAGUUGCAUGUAACUACACAGGCAGAUGCUGGCACAUUUAGCAGGCUUUAAUGAAAAUUAUUUCCACCCUGGUCAAAGUUUGACUGUAAGGCAUUUCAUCUGGAAGCUGAAGGACCUCUGUCUAUAUGACAGUGAGCUGAGCGUCUCUAAAGUACUAGAGAUCCUCUUGGUGGAAAGUCCUGCCAUCUACAACGUCACCCAUAGCAACCUGGAACUGGAGAUUACUUUUCCAGAGUUCUUUGAGGCAUUGCUGGGCUGUGCCAAGGUGAAAGGCAAGACAUUCCAAGAUAUAGGUCAUCGGGAAGACACUGUGUAGGAUGCAGAGCCGAGUUUACUUCAGAAUGAAUCAAGAAUGAAAUCCCCCCUCCCCGUUAUUUCCUCUUGUGCUGGCAGUACAAAGUCUCUUGAGACUGUUCCAUCUCAUGAAAUCCAUCAGUUAUCCCUAUAUGAAGAAUUGGAAAUACAAAGUCCUGCACUUACUUCUAAAGGUUGCUGAAAUCAGUGGAACUGAGGCACAGCUAGAGGACUGGACUCAGAAAACAGCAGUUCUUCACUAGGAUCUUCUUCCAUACAUAUGUGCACAGUGUGAAGGAGCUGGUGGAGGAGAAACUUUAUAAGAUUAUAGAAAAGAAUAUAACUACUCUUGCAGAAGCAAAGGACAAGCCAAGACAUAUUAAGCAAUUGGAGGCUGUGGAAAAAAAGGGACAAGGAAAAGGAAGAUGGAAACAGACAGGGGCAGAGUUCCAGACAAUGAUCUUAAUCACUCGCCUCUUUCUGCCAUGACCCCUGUGACCUCCACCACAUCUG
Myxocyprinus asiaticus (Chinese sucker) is the source of this 896-nucleotide long non-coding RNA. RefSeq lists it as uncharacterized. The transcript has 8 exons. The record is from RefSeq and is a predicted model, not a curated record. NCBI's taxonomy places the organism in Eukaryota, Metazoa, Chordata, Actinopteri, Cypriniformes, Catostomidae.